AUGGGUGCCAUCGCGAUGUGUACGACCUUAUAUUGCCUCAUCCUCGGAGCAGCAGGCAUGCCCAUUGGAUCAGGCACCUGGGAGCAUGGCAACGUCUGGGUGACUCUUGCGAAUGUAACCAAUACAGACACCCUGUGUUUAUCAAUGGCGACGCCAUCAGACCCUUUCCACACUUGCCUGGUCGGACUUCCUCUUGAUAUACAGUGCAUGGGGUCUCUGUAUAAUGAUACUGUGCUAUCACCCUGCAGCACGCUGGGUAAGCUUCAGCCCAUAUGGUGGUGCGAAGCAGGGUGGAGAAGCAUGGAUGGAAGAGGUUCCACAUGGUAUGACAACAUGCGUGAUGCGGGUAAUUUUCCCGCCCUGCCAGUGCAACCACAGGAACUUGACCUGUUAGGAACCACACAGGCUGCAUUUUGCUUUUAUCUAAACUACACUUCAGGAAUAUAUAUCCAUGAGACUAGCAUUGACGUAUCCCCCACGGGCAUCUAUGCCAAUGAAUCCGUGUGGUGUAAUUAUACCACUCGGAGUCAAUUAACGCCCAGACCGGAACCCGGAGGGCUAGCCGCUAAUGUGUUUCUAAUAUGUGGCCAAAGAGCCUGGAAAGGCAUACCAGGUAAAGCUGUGGGAGGCCCAUGUACCUUUGGGCUUUUGAUGAUGUUUCAUCCUGAAAAAUUCUUAGUUAAUGGAACCGUCCACACUCGAACAAAGCGGUCCACCCACGGCUUUACAUCAAGUUGCGAUAGUAAUGUUGAAUUUUUGAAUCCAGCAGAACGUAUCUUGAGUAGUAUUUUUGCAGGAAUAGGGACUGCUCAUGCUUUAUCACAACUUAACAGAUUAGGAUGUUGGCUUGCAAAAGAAGCAAAUGCUACUAGUACUGCUUUAAGCGCCUUAUUAACAGACAUAGAUUCAAUUAGAUAUGCCACCUCACAAAAUCGGGCUGCAAUUGACUUUCUGCUAUUGGUCCAAGACCAUGGUUGUCAGGACUUUGAAGGAAUGUCUUGUAUGAACCUGAGUGAUCAUUCUGAGUCAGUACAUACAAGCACUACAAAAUUGAAGGAGUUAACAAAACAACUGCAAGAAGACGAUGGUGAAAACUUGUGGGGACUGUUUGAUUGGUUGAAUAUGCUUGCUAUAGGGCCUUGGUUAAAACGCAUACUUAUUGUAGGACUUGUUAUGAGUUUUAUGUUUGUUGCAAUACUAAUCUGUGUACCAUGCUUGUUGAGCUGCAUGCGAAGGAUGAUUGACCAAAGUAUGAGACAAGUGAUGACCCUGCAGAUCCAUACAGCCUUAGCCUUUCAAUUAUUAAAAGAAGGGGGAGAUGUGGAGGGUCAUGACAGGGUUAAACUGGUGGAAAGUUGCAAGUAG
RNAcentral lists this long non-coding RNA (1365 nucleotides) under Apteryx haastii (Great spotted kiwi). RNAcentral describes it as "lncRNA (ENSAHAG00000008284.1)". Lineage: Eukaryota; Metazoa; Chordata; Aves; Apterygiformes; Apterygidae. The record is from RNAcentral.